Molecule: ribosomal RNA, 795 nt
Filed under: uncultured bacterium
Lineage: Bacteria
Description: bacterial SSU rRNA
Rfam family: Bacterial small subunit ribosomal RNA
Source: RNAcentral
AGAGUUUGAUCCUGGCUCAGGACCAACGCUGGCGGCGUGCAUAACACAUGCAAGUCGGGGGGGCCCGCAAGGGCAACCGGCGAACGGGUGCGUAACACGUGAGCAACCUGCCAUAGCGUGGGGCAUAGCCGGCCUAACGGCCGGGUAAUUCCGCAUACUAUCUUGAAGGGGCUUUCCUUUAAAAUGAAACGAGUAAUCGGCGCUGUGAGGGGCUCGCGGCCUAUCAGCUAGUUGGUGAGGUAAUGGCUCACCAAGGCAACGACGGGUAGCUGGUCUGAGAGGAUGACCAGCCACAUUGGGACUGAGAUACCGCCCACACUCCUACGGGAGGCAGCAGUGAGGAAUAUUGCGCAAUGGCCUAACGGCUGACGCAGCGACGCCGCGUGAGGGAUGAAUCUUUUCGGAGUGUAAACCUCUGUUGCUCGGGACGAAUAGCAUAUUAUUCUGACUUGACGGUACCGGGUGAGGAAGCACCGGCUAACUCCGUGCCACCAGCCGCGGUAAUACGGGGGGUGCGAGCGUUGUCCGGAAUCACUGGGCGUAAAGGGCGCGUAGGUGGUCUGGUAAGUUUGUGGUGAAAGCCCGGGGCUCAACCCCCGGGUCUGCCAUGGAUACUGCGAGACUAGAGUGCUGUAGGGGCUGGUAAAAUGUCGGGUGUAGCGGUGGAAUGCAUAAAGAUCCGACAGAAGACCGGGUGGCGAGGCGGCCAGCUGGGCAGCAACUGACACUGACGCGCGACAGCGUGGAGCAGCAAACAAGGAUUAGAUACCUCUGGUAGUCCCACGCCGUAAACGA